This 505-nucleotide ribosomal RNA is filed under the name uncultured bacterium. RNAcentral describes it as "bacterial SSU rRNA". It matches the Rfam family "Bacterial small subunit ribosomal RNA", at positions 28 to 492 of the family's 1533-position model. The record is from RNAcentral.
GACGAACGCUGGCGGCGUGCCUAAUACAUGCAAGUCGAACGCACUCUCGUUUAGAUUGAAGGAGCUUGCUCCUGAUUGAUAAACAUUUGAGUGAGUGGCGGACGGGUGAGUAACACGUGGGUAACCUGCCCUAAAGUGGGGGAUAACAUUUGGAAACAGAUGCUAAUACCGCAUAAAACCUAACACCGCAUGGUGUUGGGUUGAAAGAUGGUUUCGGCUAUCACUUUAGGAUGGACCCGCGGUGCAUUAGUUAGUUGGUGAGGUAAAGGCUCACCAAGACCGUGAUGCAUAGCCGACCUGAGAGGGUAAUCGGCCACACUGGGACUGAGACACGGCCCAGACUCCUACGGGAGGCAGCAGUAGGGAAUCUUCCACAAUGGACGAAAGUCUGAUGGAGCAACGCCGCGUGAGUGAAGAAGGUUUUCGGAUCGUAAAACUCUGUUGUUGGAGAAGAAUGUAUCUGAUAGUAACUGAUCAGGUAGUGACGGUAUCCAACCAGAAAGCC